Molecule: ribosomal RNA, 253 nt
Filed under: uncultured bacterium
Lineage: Bacteria
Description: partial 16S ribosomal RNA
Rfam family: Bacterial small subunit ribosomal RNA
Source: RNAcentral
UACGUAGGGUGCAGGCGUUAAUCGGAAUUACUGGGCGUAAAGCGUGCGCAGGCGGUUUGCUAAGACAGGUGUGAAAGCCCCGGGCUUAACCUGGGAACUGCGCUUGUUACUGGCAGGCUUGAGUGUGGCAGAGGGGGGUGGAAUUCCACGUGUAGCAGUGAAAUGCGUAGAGAUGUGGAGGAACACCGAUGGCGAAGGCAGCUCCCUGGGAUAACACUGACGCUCAUGCACGAAAGCGUGGGGAGCAAACAGG